This 77-nucleotide small nucleolar RNA is filed under the name Cicer arietinum (chickpea). RNAcentral's name for it is "Small nucleolar RNA snoR64a". It matches the Rfam family "Small nucleolar RNA snoR64a". Lineage: Eukaryota; Viridiplantae; Streptophyta; Magnoliopsida; Fabales; Fabaceae. The record is from Rfam by way of RNAcentral.
UGAAUCUUUCAAAUUAUUGAGAACUCAAACAUGUUUGAGUGCAAUGAACCUUUUAUUUGUAUAGGAAGAUCUGAUGU